GUGGUCGUAGCUCAGCGGUAGAGCGCCGGAUUGUGGCUCCGGAGACGCGGAUUCAACUGCCGUCGAUCACCCCA
RNAcentral lists this transfer RNA (74 nucleotides) under Actinoplanes siamensis. RNAcentral's name for it is "tRNA-His". It matches the Rfam family "tRNA". Rfam says of the family: Transfer RNA (tRNA) molecules are approximately 80 nucleotides in length. Their secondary structure includes four short double-helical elements and three loops (D, anti-codon, and T loops). Further hydrogen bonds mediate the characteristic L-shaped molecular structure. tRNAs have two regions of fundamental functional importance: the anti-codon, which is responsible for specific mRNA codon recognition, and the 3' end, to which the tRNAs corresponding amino acid is attached (by aminoacyl-tRNA synthetases). tRNAs cope with the degeneracy of the genetic code in two manners: having more than one tRNA (with a specific anti-codon) for a particular amino acid; and 'wobble' base-pairing, i.e. permitting non-standard base-pairing at the 3rd anti-codon position. Lineage: Bacteria; Bacillati; Actinomycetota; Actinomycetes; Micromonosporales; Micromonosporaceae. The record is from RNAcentral.